AGAGUUUGAUCCUGGCUCAGAGCGAACGCUGGCGGCAGGCUUAACACAUGCAAGUCGAGCGCCCCGCAAGGGGAGCGGCAGACGGGAGAGUAACACGUGGGAACGUACCUUUCAGUUCGGGACAACCAAGGGAAACUUUGGCUAAUACCGGAUACGCCCGUAAGGGGAAAGAUUUAUCGCUGAAAGAUCGGCCCAUGCCAGAUUAGCUAGUUGGUGAGGUAAUGGCUCACCAAGGCUACGAUCUGUAGCUGGUCUGAGAGGACGACCAGCCACACUGGAACUGAGACACGGUCCAGACUCCUACGGGAGGCAGCAGUGGGGAAUAUUGGACAAUGGGGGAAACCCUGAUCCAGCCAUGCCGCGUGAGUGAUGAAGGCCUUAGGGUUGUAAAGCUCUUUUGUCAGGGAAGAUAAUGACGGUACCUGAAGAAUAAGCACCGGCUAACUUCGUGCCAGCAGCCGCGGUAAUACGAAGGGUGCUAGCGUUGUUCGGAAUCACUGGGCGUAAAGCGCGCGUAGGCGGUUAAUCAAGUCAGGGGUGAAAUCCUGGGGCUCAACCCCAGAAUUGCCUUUGAAACUGGUUAACUGGAGUGUCGGAGGGGAUAGCGGAAUUGCUAAUGUAGCGGUGAAAUGCGUAGAUAUUAGCAGGAACACCGGUGGCGAAGGCGGCUAUCUGGACGACAACUGACGCUGAGGCGCGAAAGCGUGGGGAUCAAACAGGAUUAGAUACCCUGGUAGUCC
This 740-nucleotide ribosomal RNA is filed under the name uncultured bacterium. Its description in RNAcentral is "bacterial SSU rRNA". It matches the Rfam family "Bacterial small subunit ribosomal RNA", at positions 8 to 796 of the family's 1533-position model. The record is from RNAcentral.